CAGCAGCCGCGGUAAUACGGAGGGUGCAAGCGUUAAUCGGAAUUACUGGGCGUAAAGCGUGCGUAGGCGGCUUUUUAAGUCGGAUGUGAAAUCCCUGAGCUUAACUUAGGAAUUGCAUUCGAUACUGGGAAGCUAGAGUAUGGGAGAGGAUGGUAGAAUUCCAGGUGUAGCGGUGAAAUGCGUAGAGAUCUGGAGGAAUACCGAUGGCGAAGGCAGCCAUCUGGCCUAAUACUGACGCUGAGGUACGAAAGCAUGGGAAGCAAACAGGAUUAGAUACCCCGGUAGUCCCUGUCUCUUAUAC
This 301-nucleotide ribosomal RNA is filed under the name uncultured bacterium. Its description in RNAcentral is "partial 16S ribosomal RNA". It matches the Rfam family "Bacterial small subunit ribosomal RNA", at positions 509 to 807 of the family's 1533-position model. The record is from RNAcentral.